GACGAACGCUGGCGGUAUGCUUAACACAUGCAAGUCGAACGAGAAGUCUUUUAUUGAACCUUCGGGGGAUAUAAGAGACAGACAGUGGCGAACGGGUGAGUAACGCGUGGGCAACCUACCUAUUGGAGCGGGAUAGCCUCGAGAAAUCGGGAGUAAAACCGCAUAACACGGAUAUAUCGCAUGAUGAAUCCGUCAAAACUCCGGUGCCGAUAGAUGGGCCCGCGUCUGAUUAGCUAGUUGGUAAGGUAAGGGCUUACCAAGGCAACGAUCAGUAGCCGGUCUGAGAGGGCGAACGGCCACACUGGAACUGAGACACGGUCCAGACUCCUACGGGAGGCAGCAGUGGGGAAUAUUGCGCAAUGGGGGCAACCCCGACGCAGCAAUACCGCGUGAGUGAAGAAGGUUUUCGGAUCGUAAAGCUCUGUUAUUGGGGAAGAAGCAGGACGGUA
RNAcentral lists this ribosomal RNA (449 nucleotides) under Pseudoramibacter alactolyticus. RNAcentral's name for it is "bacterial SSU rRNA". It matches the Rfam family "Bacterial small subunit ribosomal RNA", at positions 28 to 477 of the family's 1533-position model. The record is from RNAcentral. Lineage: Bacteria; Bacillati; Bacillota; Clostridia; Eubacteriales; Eubacteriaceae.